Molecule: long non-coding RNA, 363 nt
Organism: Cyprinus carpio (common carp)
Lineage: Eukaryota; Metazoa; Chordata; Actinopteri; Cypriniformes; Cyprinidae
Source: Ensembl
AUGGCAAGAAAGUCGUCCAAGUUAAGCCCCUACUCAAAUAUGUUACUAAAUUUCGUUUUAUAUAGUAUUUUUUAUGAAUUCGCCUUCGCCUUUCCGUCAUAUCCCGAAUCCAGACAGUCAGAAAGUUUGGAGAAACCCACCUCAACACCAAACAAUCAACAGGUUCUAAGUCUGCAUUUAGGAGUUAUCGCGUCUGUUGUGAUCGUUAUUGUUGCUGCAGUAGCAGCUGCUGUAUUCAUCAUACGGAGUUACUGCUGUCUGCAGAGUAAUGUAACAUAUAGAUAUUCAGAGCUGCGACAAAUGGAAGCGGAAAAUGCAGCCAGAGAAGAGGACGAUGGUUCAGAUGAGGACCUUUUGGAGUGA